UACGGGGGAUGCAAGCGUUAUCCGGAAUCAUUGGGCGUAAAGCGCCUGUAGGUUGUUUAAUAAGUCUGUUGUUAAAGACUAGGGCUUAACCCUAGGAAAGCAAUGGAAACUACUAGACUUGAGUAUGAUAGGGGUAGAGGGAAUUUCUAGUGUAGCGGUGAAAUGCGUAGAUAUUAGGAAGAACACCGGUGGCGAAGGCGCUCUACUGGAUCAUUACUGACACUCAGAGGCGAAAGCUAGGGUAGCAAAAGGGAUUAGAUACCCCUGUAGUCCUAGCCGUAAACGAUGGAUACUAGAUGUUGCGUUUAUUAUGCAGUAUCGUAGCUAACGCGUUAAGUAUCCCGCCUGGGGAGUACGCUCGCAAGGGUG
Molecule: ribosomal RNA, 369 nt
Filed under: uncultured phototrophic eukaryote
Lineage: Eukaryota
Description: SSU rRNA
Rfam family: Bacterial small subunit ribosomal RNA
Source: RNAcentral